GUAGGGCGCGAGCGUUGUCCGGAAUUAUUGGGCGUAAAGAGCUUGUAGGCGGUUGGUCGCGUCUGCUGUGAAAGGCUGGGGCUUAACCCUGGUUUUGCAGUGGGUACGGGCUAACUAGAGUGCAGUAGGGGAGACUGGAAUUCCUGGUGUAGCGGUGGAAUGCGCAGAUAUCAGGAGGAACACCGAUGGCGAAGGCAGGUCUCUGGGCUGUAACUGACGCUGAGAAGCGAAAGCAUGGGGAGCGAACAGGAUUAGAUACCCUGGUAGUCCAUGCCGUAAACGUUGGGCACUAGGUGUGGGGGACAUUCCACGUUUUCCGCGCCGUAGCUAACGCAUUAAGUGCCCCGCCUGGGGAGUACGGCCGCAAGGCUAAAACUCAAAGAAAUUGACGGGGGCCCGCACAAGCGGCGGAGCAUGCGGAUUAAUUCGAUGCAACGCGAAGAACCUUACCAAGGCUUGACAU
Molecule: ribosomal RNA, 463 nt
Filed under: uncultured bacterium
Lineage: Bacteria
Description: bacterial SSU rRNA
Rfam family: Bacterial small subunit ribosomal RNA
Source: RNAcentral